GACGUAGGGCGCGAGCGUUGUCCGGAUUUAUUGGGCGUAAAGAGCUCGUAGGCGGCUUGUUGCGUCGACCGUGAAAACCCGGGGCUCAACUUCGGGCUUGCGGUCGAUACGGGCGGGCUAGAGUUCGGUAGGGGAGACUGGAAUUCCUGGUGUAGCGGUGGAAUGCGCAGAUAUCAGGAGGAACACCGAUGGCGAAGGCAGGUCUCUGGGCCACUACUGACGCUGAGAAGCGAAAGCAUGGGGAGCGAACAGG
Molecule: ribosomal RNA, 253 nt
Filed under: uncultured bacterium
Lineage: Bacteria
Description: partial 16S ribosomal RNA
Rfam family: Bacterial small subunit ribosomal RNA
Source: RNAcentral